RNAcentral lists this ribosomal RNA (492 nucleotides) under uncultured bacterium. RNAcentral's name for it is "partial 16S ribosomal RNA". It matches the Rfam family "Bacterial small subunit ribosomal RNA", at positions 29 to 507 of the family's 1533-position model. The record is from RNAcentral.
AGUGAACGCUGGCGGUAGGCCUAACACAUGCAAGUCGAACGGCAGCACAGUAAGAGCUUGCUCUUACGGGUGGCGAGUGGCGGACGGGUGAGGAAUACAUCGGAAUCUACUUUUUCGUGGGGGAUAACGUAGGGAAACUUACGCUAAUACCGCAUACGACCUACGGGUGAAAGCAGGGGAUCUUCGGACCUUGCGCGAUUGAAUGAGCCGAUGUCGGAUUAGCUAGUUGGCGGGGUAAAGGCCCACCAAGGCGACGAUCCGUAGCUGGUCUGAGAGGAUGAUCAGCCACACUGGAACUGAGACACGGUCCCGACUCCUACGGGAGGCAGCAGUGGGGAAUAUUGGACAAUGGGCGCAAGCCUGAUCCAGCCAUACCGCGUGGGUGAAGAAGGCCUUCGGGUUGUAAAGCCCUUUUGUUGGGAAAGAAAAGCAGCAGGUUAAUACCGCGCUGUUCUGACGGUACCCAAAGAAUAAGCACCGGCUAACUUCGUG